CCUACGGGUGGCAGCAGUGGGGAAUAUUGGACAAUGGGCGGAAGCCUGAUCCAGCCAUGCCGCGUGUGUGAAGAAGGCCUUCGGGUUGUAAAGCACUUUCAGUGGGGAAGAAAGCCUUGGGGCUAAUACCCUCGAGGAAGGACAUCACCCACAGAAGAAGCACCGGCUAACUCCGUGCCAGCAGCCGCGGUAAUACGGAGGGUGCGAGCGUUAAUCGGAAUUACUGGGCGUAAAGCGCGCGUAGGCGGUCUGAUAAGCCGGUUGUGAAAGCCCCGGGCUCAACCUGGGAACGGCAUCCGGAACUGUCAGGCUAGAGUGCAGGAGAGGAAGGUAGAAUUCCCGGUGUAGCGGUGAAAUGCGUAGAGAUCGGGAGGAAUACCAGUGGCGAAGGCGGCCUUCUGGACUGACACUGACGCUGAGGUGCGAAAGCGUGGGUAGCAAACAGGAUUAGAUACCCGAGUAGUC
Molecule: ribosomal RNA, 465 nt
Filed under: Vreelandella stevensii
Lineage: Bacteria; Pseudomonadati; Pseudomonadota; Gammaproteobacteria; Oceanospirillales; Halomonadaceae
Description: partial 16S ribosomal RNA
Rfam family: Bacterial small subunit ribosomal RNA
Source: RNAcentral